RNAcentral lists this ribosomal RNA (466 nucleotides) under uncultured bacterium. RNAcentral describes it as "bacterial SSU rRNA". It matches the Rfam family "Bacterial small subunit ribosomal RNA", at positions 331 to 793 of the family's 1533-position model. The record is from RNAcentral.
CCAGACUCCUACGGGAGGCAGCAGUGAGGAAUAUUGGUCAAUGGGCGGGAGCCUGAACCAGCCAAGUCGCGUGAGGGAAGACGGUCCUACGGAUUGUAAACCUCUUUUGCCGGGGAGCAACGGGGUCCUUGCGAGGGCCCGAUGAGAGUACCCGGAGAAAAAAGCAUCGGCUAACUCCGUGCCAGCAGCCGCGGUAAUACGGAGGAUGCGAGCGUUAUCCGGAUUUAUUGGGUUUAAAGGGUGCGUAGGCGGGCUUUUAAGUCAGCGGUAAAAAUUCGGGGCUCAACCCCGUCCGGCCGUUGAAACUGGGGGCCUUGAGUGGGCGAGAAGAAGGCGGAAUGCGUGGUGUAGCGGUGAAAUGCAUAGAUAUCACGAAGAACCCCGAUUGCGAAGGCAGCCUGCCGCAGCGUUACUGACGCUGAAGCUCGAAAGCGCGGGUAUCGAACAGGAUUAGAUACCCUCGUAC